GCCGGGAUAGCUCAGAUGGUAGAGCGACGGUAUCGUAAACCGUAGGUCUGGGGUUCGAUCCCCCAUCCCGGCU
This 73-nucleotide transfer RNA is filed under the name Candidatus Pacebacteria bacterium CG_4_10_14_0_2_um_filter_40_20. RNAcentral's name for it is "tRNA-Thr". It matches the Rfam family "tRNA". From Rfam's summary of the family: Transfer RNA (tRNA) molecules are approximately 80 nucleotides in length. Their secondary structure includes four short double-helical elements and three loops (D, anti-codon, and T loops). Further hydrogen bonds mediate the characteristic L-shaped molecular structure. tRNAs have two regions of fundamental functional importance: the anti-codon, which is responsible for specific mRNA codon recognition, and the 3' end, to which the tRNAs corresponding amino acid is attached (by aminoacyl-tRNA synthetases). tRNAs cope with the degeneracy of the genetic code in two manners: having more than one tRNA (with a specific anti-codon) for a particular amino acid; and 'wobble' base-pairing, i.e. permitting non-standard base-pairing at the 3rd anti-codon position. Lineage: Bacteria; Bacillati; Minisyncoccota. The record is from RNAcentral. RNAcentral also lists the same sequence under 4 other names.